Non-coding RNA from Helianthus annuus (common sunflower), 107 nucleotides. The record is from Rfam. NCBI's taxonomy places the organism in Eukaryota, Viridiplantae, Streptophyta, Magnoliopsida, Asterales, Asteraceae.
AGCCCAUGGUGAGGGCACUUGUUCAGCAACGCCUUAAACCUAUCCCAUGUCUCGUAGAAAGACUCCCCUGGCUGCUCAGUGAAUGCAUAGAUGAGAUUUCUAAGACG